CAACGUGGGUAACCUGCCCAAGAGAUCGGGAUAACACCUGGAAACAGAUGCUAAUACCGGAUAACAACAGAUGAUGCCUAUCAACUGUUUAAAAGAUGGUUCUGCUAUCACUCUUGGAUGGACCUGCGGUGCAUUAGCUAGUUGGUAGGGUAACGGCCUACCAAGGCGAUGAUGCAUAGCCGAGUUGAGAGACUUAUCGGCCACAUUGGGACUGAGACACGGCCCAAACUCCUACGGGAGGCAGCAGCC
This 249-nucleotide ribosomal RNA is filed under the name uncultured Lactobacillus sp. RNAcentral describes it as "partial 16S ribosomal RNA". It matches the Rfam family "Bacterial small subunit ribosomal RNA", at positions 113 to 355 of the family's 1533-position model. The record is from RNAcentral. Lineage: Bacteria; Bacillati; Bacillota; Bacilli; Lactobacillales; Lactobacillaceae.